RNAcentral lists this ribosomal RNA (648 nucleotides) under uncultured bacterium. RNAcentral's name for it is "bacterial SSU rRNA". It matches the Rfam family "Bacterial small subunit ribosomal RNA", at positions 10 to 655 of the family's 1533-position model. The record is from RNAcentral.
AGUUUGAUCAUGGCUCAGAUUGAACGCUGGCGGCAUGCCUUACACAUGCAAGUCGAACGGUAACAGGUCUUCGGAUGCUGACGAGUGGCGAACGGGUGAGUAAUAUAUCGGAACGUGCCCAGUCGUGGGGGAUAACGCAGCGAAAGCUGUGCUAAUACCGCAUACGAUCUACGGAUGAAAGCGGGGGAUCGCAAGACCUCGCGCGAUUGGAGCGGCCGAUAUCAGAUUAGGUAGUUGGUGGGGUAAAAGCCUACCAAGCCGAUGAUCUGUAGCUGGUCUGAGAGGACGACCAGCCACACUGGAACUGAGACACGGUCCAGACUCCUACGGGAGGCAGCAGUGGGGAAUUUUGGACAAUGGGCGCAAGCCUGAUCCAGCAAUGCCGCGUGCAGGAUGAAGGCCUUCGGGUUGUAAACUGCUUUUGUACGGAACGAAAAGGUCUGCCCUAAUACGGUGGGUCCAUGACGGUACCGUAAGAAUAAGCACCGGCUAACUACGUGCCAGCAGCCGCGGUAAUACGUAGGGUGCGAGCGUUAAUCGGAAUUACUGGGCGUAAAGCGUGCGCAGGCGGUUAUGUAAGUCAGAUGUGAAAUCCCCGGGCUCAACCUGGGACCUGCAUUUGAGACUGCAUAGCUAGAGUACGGUAGA